ACAUAACUGAUGCCUCCGCGUAUCGACUUUGUGCGCAUUUUAGCUAUUAUGUGUUCUUUUAAUUAAAAUGAUUCUUUUUAAGAUUCAUCUAUUAAAAAUUUGCUUCGGCAUAAUUUUUUUUGAUGAUCUUGUUACUUUGAGUAAAUUAGAGUGUUCAAAGCAAACAGAUAUAGCAUUUGUGCGUUUGAAUACUACAGCAUGGAAUAACAAAAUUGAACAAGUCAGAAUUUUUUUGUUCUUUUUUCUUAUUUUGGCUUAGUUACGAUUAAUAGGAGUAGCUUGGGGGCAUUUGUAUUCAGAUGUCAGAGGUGAAAUUCUUAGAUUUUCUGGAGACAAACAACUGCGAAAGCAUUUGCCUAAAAUACUUCCAUUAAUCAAGAACGAAGGUUAAGGGAGUGAAGACGAUCAGAUACCGUCGUAAUCUUAACCAUAAACUAUGCCGACUAGGCUUUGGAUGAAAGAUUUUAAAAUAAGAGUUUUUCUUUUCUCUCCGGAGAUUAGAACUCUUAGAUUGCUUCCUUCAGUGCCUUAUGAGAAAUCAAAGUCUUUGGGUUCUGGGGCGAGUAUUCGCGCAAGCGAGAAAGUUAAAAGAAUUGACGGAAGGGCACCACCAGGCGUGGAGCUUGCGGCUUAAUUUGACUCAACACGGGAAAACUCACUAGUUUAAGACAAGAGUAGGAUUGACAGAUUAAUAGCUCUUUCUUGAUUUCUUGGAUGGUGAUGCAUGGCCGUUUUUAGUUCGUGAAUAUGAUUUGUCUGGUUAAUUCCGAUAACGAACGAGAUCUUAACCUGCUAAUUAGCGGCAAAUACGAUAUAUUCUUAUGUAGAAUUGAAUAUAGUGGAUUUGUUAGAUUUUGAAGAAAAUAUUGGAAUUACGUUAAAUGUGAUUCCUUUCCCUUUUCUACUUAAUUUACAUUUCCAUCUAUUUCUUUUUUGCGUAUGAAUGUAUUUGCUUGAUUGUAAAGCUUCUUAGAGGAACGAUGUGUG
Molecule: ribosomal RNA, 987 nt
Filed under: Plasmodium knowlesi
Lineage: Eukaryota; Apicomplexa; Aconoidasida; Haemosporida; Plasmodiidae
Description: SSU rRNA
Rfam family: Eukaryotic small subunit ribosomal RNA
Source: RNAcentral